CGCUAUCACUCCUACGGGGAGGCAGCAGUGGGGAAUAUUGCACAAUGGGCGCAAGCCUGAUGCAGCCAUGCCGCGUGUAUGAAGAAGGCCUUCGGGUUGUAAAGUACUUUCAGCAGUGAGGAAGGUGGAGUCGUAUUAAGUAGGCCGCCAUUCGAUUGCAGUUAGCUGCAGAAGAAGCACCGGCUAACUCCGUGCCAGCAGCCGCGGUAAUACGGAGGGUGCGAGCGUUAAUCGGAAUUACUGGACGUAAAGCGCAUGCAGGUGGUUUGUUAAGUCAGAUGUGAAAGCCCGGGGCUCAACUCGGAAUAGCAUUUGAAACUGGCAGACUAGAGUACUGUAGAGGGGGGUAGAAUUUCAGGUGUAGCGGUGAAAUGCGUAGAGAUCUGAAGGAAUACCGGUGGCGAAGGCGGCCCCCUGGACAGAUACUGACACUCAGAUGCGAAAGCGUGGGGAGCAAACAGGAUUAGAUACCCUGGUAG
Molecule: ribosomal RNA, 479 nt
Filed under: uncultured bacterium
Lineage: Bacteria
Description: bacterial SSU rRNA
Rfam family: Bacterial small subunit ribosomal RNA
Source: RNAcentral